CCCGCUGAACUUAAGCAUAUCAUAAAGCGGGGAGGGAA
RNAcentral lists this ribosomal RNA (38 nucleotides) under Sporothrix sp. HMY-2013. Its description in RNAcentral is "partial 28S ribosomal RNA". Lineage: Eukaryota; Fungi; Ascomycota; Sordariomycetes; Ophiostomatales; Ophiostomataceae. The record is from RNAcentral.